UUCGCAAUGCCCGAAAGGGUGACGAAGCGACGCCGCGUGUGGGAAGAAGGCCUUCGGGUUGUAAACCACUGUCGGGAGUUAAGAAAUACAAGGAUAUUAAUAGUGUCUUUGUUUGACUAAGGCUCCGGAGGAAGCCACGGCUAACUCUGUGCCGGCAGCCGCGGUAAUACAGAGGCGGCAAGCGUUGUUCGGAAUUAUUGGGCGUAAAGAGCACGUAGGCGGCUAUGUAAGUCGGUUGUGAAAGCCUUCCGCUCAACGGAAGAACAGCAUCCGAUACUACAUGGCUUGAGUGCGGGAGGGGAGAGUGGAACUUCUGGUGGAGCGGUGAAAUGCGUAGAUAUCAGAAGGAACGCCGGCGGCGAAAGCGGCUCUCUGGCCCAUAACUGACGCUGAGUGUGCGAAAGCUAGGGGAGCAAACGGGAUUAGAUACCCCGGUAGUCCUAGCCGUAAAC
Molecule: ribosomal RNA, 452 nt
Filed under: uncultured bacterium
Lineage: Bacteria
Description: bacterial SSU rRNA
Rfam family: Bacterial small subunit ribosomal RNA
Source: RNAcentral